GCUGCCCCUCGAGGCGCUGCAGGUGUGGCUGCUGUGUCAUAUCUGCGUCACUAGGUAGCAGAGAGAAUCGAGGCUAUGUCUACGCUCAGUGUUCCGACCCGUGAACGAACGCCUGAAUGAUUAGUAGCCUGACACAG
Chinchilla lanigera (long-tailed chinchilla) is the source of this 137-nucleotide small nucleolar RNA. Lineage: Eukaryota; Metazoa; Chordata; Mammalia; Rodentia; Chinchillidae. The record is from Ensembl.